GGAGGGCGGUGGAUGCACCACAGCCGCCUGAACGACGGGAAACAAAGAGUGCUCCGGAACUAAGUGCGGAAACGGAACCUUAGGAGACGAAGUUGGAAAUCGAGUAGGAAGGAAGAGGAAUUGCACUUGGUGGGCCAUGUGAUUAGAAGUGGGCAGACGCGCGGCGCUGGCUCUAGGAGACGGCGUGAACAUACCAAGUGUAUGCCCAACCUUCAUGAAAGCCAACAAAGAAACCAAGCGCCUUUUUGUGGGUGGCCUUGGCCAGGCCAUUUCUGAGACAGAUCUACAAAAUCAGUUCAGCAGAUUUGGAGAAGUUUCUGAUGUGGAGAUCAUCACACGGAAAGAUGACCAAGGAAACCCACAGAAAAUCUUUGCAUAUAUUAAUAUCAAAGUAGCAGAAGCAGAUCUGAAAAAAUGUAUGUCUGUUUUAAAUAAAACAAAAUGGAAAGGUGGAACACUACAAAUUCAGCUAGCAAAAGAAAGCUUUUUGCACAGAUUGGCCCAAGAGAGAGAAGAAGUGAAAUCAAAAAAAGAAAAAUCAACAACAGGCAAUACCAAUGUGUCGGAAAAGAUGGGAGGGAUAGAUUUCCAAAUGAAAGCUGUGCCGGGAACAGAAGUACCAGGGCACAAAAAUUGGGUUGUAAGUAAGUUUGGAAGAGUCUUACCUGUUCUUCACCUGAAGAAUCAACAUAAACGUAAAAUCAUGAAAUAUGAUCCAUCAAAAUACUGCCACAACCUAAAGAAGAUAGGAGAAGAUUUUACAAAUACCACUCCUAUAACUAGCCUCACUUGGGAAUUGGAAGGAGGUAAUGACCCUAUGAGUAAGAAACGGCGAGGAGAGUUCUCUGACUUUCAUGGCCCUCCCAAGAAGACUAUAAAAGUACAAAAGGGCAAGGGUUCCACUGUGAGUCCAAGGACCAAUCUCGAAACAGAGAAUAAUAGCACAUCAACCCAGAAAAUGCCUUGUGCUUCUAUUAUUCCCAAAUCAUCCCCUGUACCUAAUUCUGGUUCUCAGAAACUUCAAAAUGUACCUUUUCAGACUUUUGGUUUGGAAACUGCCAGGAAGAGAAAUAGCAUGUCUGAUGAUGAUAUUGAUUCUGAGGAUGAAUUAAGAAUGCUGAUUGCAGAAGAGGAAAACUUACAGAGAAGUAAAUGGUCCUCAAUAAAUGAAUCUGAAAAUGAUCUUUUUGAAGUUGUAAGAGAUGAUUUCAAAUCAGAUGUUCACAAAUUUCAUUCUAUAGCAGGGCUAGGAGUUAAAAACAUCUCUCACUGUGUUAGUGACAGUAUUAUGGGAAGUGACCAUGAAUAUGAUUCAGGAGAUACAGAUGAAAUCAUUGCAAUGAAACAAAACAUUAGUAAGGUCAAAAAUAGUGCAGAGAUUUCACAAACAGAAAAACCUAUGCACAGCAAAACUUUGAAAAAGAAAGAGAUUUUCAAUCAUUGUAAUAAAAUACAAAAAAGAGAAAACAAGAAAGAGUCAGCUGUCAGUAAUGGAGUGAAGCCUCUAAGUCAUAAAUCUUCAUCUGACUCCAGCAGCAGUGAUGAUGAAGACAGUGAAGGAGAUGAGGAGUAUAACGCCAUCAUGAAAAACUGUCCCCGUGUGAAUCUCACUUUAGCUGAUUUGGAACAGUUGGCUGGCAGUGAUCUGGUGGUACCAGAAGAUUCUGAGAGCGAUGGCCCAGAAACCAAGUUUGACAGAGCCUCCAAGAGCCCCGAUACACCCCAUGCCCUUGGCCGAGGCCGAAAGUGCAUUCAUCCUGAGGAAAUUGUGGCUUCCCUUUUAGAAGAAGAGAAAACCUGUGACAAGCAGAAACCAAAGGAAAACAACUUAAAGCCCAAAUUCCAGGCAUUCAGGGGUGUAGGCUGUCUCUAUGGAAAGGAAUCAGUGAAAAAAACCUUGAAAGAGAGUGUGGACUCUAACAAUAUAAAUGAAGAUCAGAGUUCCUUAAAACUGGAGGAUUCCAGUAGCAUAUCCAUUGAAAAUGAGUCCCUACGUCUUAAUGGUUCAUCAAGCAAACUGACUUCACAGCAAUGUGCCAAGACAAUAAAUAGCCCAAAUCACACUCCACCUCAAAAAAGACAGUUCAGUUUUGAGACCCAAUAUCACAAGAUAGUUUCCCCUAGUGGUUCAAAAAAGGGAGGUAGAGAUUCUAUUUCUAGUCUGAUGCCAUUAAAAGGUAAAAAAUGCUUAAGUCUUAGUGCAAAGACGCGUAAAAUAGGCAUUGACAAAGACAGUUGCCAUGGUACCAAAAAGACAGAUGAAUCUUCUGAGGAAGAGGGUUCUGAUUCAAGCAUCCUCACUUCUCUUGAGAAAUUGCCAACCGUCUCUUCCAGAAAAGAUGCUCAGGAAAGCACAGCAGAUUUCUCACUUUCUGUUAGUAGUUCAGCAAAUGUGACUGGUAAGAAUAAGUAUGCUGAAGACAAUCAGAGACGUUUGGCAGCCUUGGAAGCAAGGCAGAAAGCAAAAGAAGUGAAGAAGAAACUGGUCCACGAUGCCCUAGCCAAUUUGGAUGGUCGUCCAGAGGAUAAGCCAACACACAUCAUCUUUGGUUCUGACAGUGAAGAUGAAACAGAAGAGACAAACACUCAGGAGCAAAGCCAUCCAGGAGAGGAGCUGGUGAAAGAAUCUGUGGGUAAAGCCUCCGGGCAACUGUUUGGCAGCAGUGAUGAUGAGGAACUUGAUUCAGAGGAUGACAUUGACAGGUUCAAAAUUAAACCUCAAUUUGAGGGCAAAGCUGGACAGAAGCUCCUGGAUUUACAAUCGCACUUUGGCAAUGAUGACAGGUUCCGCUUGGACUCUCGAUUUCUGGAGAGUGACAGUGAAGAGGAACAGGAAGAGGUAAAUGAAAAGAAAAUUGCUGAGGAAGAAGAGCUUGCUGCAGAAAAAAAGAAAGCCUUAAAUGUUGCACAAAGUGUUUUGCACAUCAGCUUGAACAAUCCUACAAGCAAAGGAUCAGUAGCUACUAAGAAAUUUAAGGACAUCAUUCGUUAUGAUCCAACGAGGCAUGAUCAUGCCACUUAUGAAAGAAAAAAAGAUGAUAAGCCAAAAGAAAGUAAAGCAAAGCGGAAAAAGAAAAGGGAGGAAGCGGAGAAGCUACCUGAGGUGUCUAAGGAAAUGUAUUACAACAUUGCUACGAAUUUGAAAGAAAUAUUCCAAAAUACAAAAGAUACCAGUGAAAAGGACGAAGGGACAGCCUGGAACCUGGACUGUGGUGGAGAUAAAACCGAGGAAAUUGAUAAUGCUACAGCUCUGACAAGUGGGACUGAGCAGCCCAGCGGGUUCAUGUUCUCCUUCUUUGAUUCAGACGUUAAAGAUAUAAAGGAAGAGACCUAUAAAGUUGAAGCAGUGAAAUCUGGGAAGACUAUCUGGAAGGGAAACCCUCAUUUCCAAGACAGCAGCAGUUCAGAAGAAGAAGAUGUUACUGAAGAAACGGAUCACAGAAAGUCCAGCCCUGGAGAAGCAUCAGUACCUGAAAAAGGGACCACUAGAUUUUUCUUUUUCUCUAGGAAUGAUGAACGACUUCAUGACAUAGGGAGAAGAGAGGACCCAAGAGGGGCCAGAAAUGAGGCGGAGCAUUGACAAAAGAGUACUUAAUGACAGGUAACAAUUGUUGGCUCUUCUGAUGAAGGUGUAGGAGUGCUGGGCUUAAGCCUGGAAAUAUGAAUCCACAGGGUAAGCUGGUUAUUAGGUAGUUUGAGUUUGGCUGCUAAGGGAGUGCACAUAAUCACCUGAACAGGACUCUCCCAUUUUGGUUUUAGAGGGGGCUUUUCUCCCAGUGGGCAAUAGUAAACAAGUUGACCAGGUGUUAAGGAGGUAGGGUUUUGAAAGAGACUGAGGUCAGGAAGGAGCCAGUCUUGAUAGCACCAGAGUUCAGAGUGUAGAUGGAAGAGGAGGGGCAGGGCAUAGGUUUUGGAGAUGGGUAGGGGUUCUAUAGGCAAUCCGAGAGGAACGAGAGGAAGGUCAUAUAUGACUUCGAAAGGUGAGAGAUUAGAAGGCUUCUUUGGCAAGGCUCUAAUGCACAAUAAAGCCAAAGGGAGCACCUUUACCCAGUUCAAUCUUAAUUUCAUGAUGAGCUUGGUGAGGGUCUCUUUAAGGGACCAAUUGGUCCUUUCAACCUUUCCGGAAGCCUGGCGGCGGUAAGGGCAAUGAAAAUGCCAAGGGAGUGAUAGCACGUGAGCCAGUCCCUGAGUUAUCUGCGAGGUGAAUUCUGGGCCAUUGUCUGAUUGGAUAGAAGUGGGCAUCCCGAAAUGGGGGAUUCUGUGAGUAAGCAACAGACCAACUACUAUAGAGGCCUGCUUGUUAGAAGUAGGAAAGGCUUCAACCCAUCCCGAAAAAGUAUCUAUUAAUACAAGAAGAUAUUUUAUGUUUUUUACUCAUGGCAUAUUGGUGAAAUCAAUCUGCCAGUCUGCAGCCAGGGUAUGACCAACAGGCCUGAUGAGAAGGGAAAGGUUUAGGUUUUAAUGGAGUAUUGGUAUUGGUUCUCUGGCAGAUAUGACAAGUGGAAGUGAUCUGUUGUAGGAGGGUCUUAUGGCAUGGGGAAAGGGUGAAAAAGGAGUGAAGGAAAGUAGUGAGACUCUGAACCAGACGAGGUCCGAAGAGGGCAGGGGUCCCUCAGAAAUGGUGGUAGGGCAGGGUACAAUCGUGUCUAAUACCUCCAGGCAUUUGUGGACAGGAUCUUGUGAGGGUGAAGAUGGGAGGAGGGCUACAAGGUUUCAAGGACUGAGACAAGGAGGGAUAGAACUCUGAAAGGAGGAAGUCACUGUAGCCCCUUGUAAGUGAGGAAAUCCUUUAUGAGAUGGUUAGCGGGAAGCCAAAGGUAAGCUUAUGUGCUUCUUUCUGGAGGUCAUGGGCUGCUGCUAGGGCUCUGAGGCAUGGGGGCCAGCCCCUGACGGUGGGGUUGGAUAGGUAGGCCACUGGUGCAAAUAUGGGGACAUCCUGACCCAGAACGCCCAGACUUUGUCCCAGUUUUUACAUAGAGGGUGAAGGGUCAGGGAGAUGCAGGGCUGGUGCCCGGAAGAGGGCCUUUUUGAGGAUUGUAAAGGGCUUUCCUACCACUGAGGGCAGGGGUUCAUCUUGGAGGCCCUUGGCCAGAUUAUACCCAGGCAAACCCAAGAAGGAGAGUAUGUCACCUUUGAUCUUUGGUGUAGGUAUAGACACAAUAAGCUGUUUUCUACUGUAAUGGCCUUUUUCCCUUGAAAGAUGCUAUUUGGGCUUUUUGUGGAGAGGCCCGAUAUCCCUUUAAGGCCAAGAAAUUAAGUAGGAGAACUGUGUCAUCUGUUGAGUGCCCUUUGGACAGGCUAGAAGAAUUUGUAGAGGUUUGCAAGAGGUACAGAGAGCAGGAUUGGAUCAGAGCAAGAAGAAAGCCUGGACAUAAGCGAUCUCUAACCAUUUUUCUUGAAUGCUCACAGUAAUUGUAGAGAUCCCUUAGCAUGGAGGGAUCCAGGGACCCAAAAAGGGGCCAUUUGCUUUGGUUGUCUAAGGGAUAAGUGGGCCAGGCCUGGGUGCUAUAUUUGAUCCAAGAGGCAUUGUAGGGGAGAGUUGACCAGCAGAGAGGACGCAGAGAAGGAGGAAACUGAUUUAUUGGCAAAAGGGGCGUCCCCGCUAGAGCCAAAAAAUCAGGAGUGCCUAAGUGGCAGGUUCGAGCUGCAGAGAUUGGUCGUCACCGAAUCCUGACAGUCGAAGCUCUCGUCCUGGAUGGAGCCUGAGCCGUGGGAGACCUUGGCCAAGGCUUUUCGGGACCCCUCCUGAAGAGGCCGGAUACUCCCAGGGCCGGAAAGAGGGGAGAGGAAGGCGUGGGUAAGUGUCUCUCUAGCAGCCAAGUCUAAAAGGUGAGAGGACUAGGACUUUCGAAUCUGCCCAAGGAAGGAGUCCCUGAGGGCCACCAUAGCCUUAAAGGCUGUGGUGGGAUGCUUUCCUCCCCACAGGUGGGCAAAGAGAUUUGCUGGACGAUAAUCAACAUAUUGCAAGAAGGUGGAUUGGGGGCACUGGGGGGUGAAAUGAUUGGAGGUCGGAGGCCAAGGUUUGUCCAAAGAGGUGUGGACUACCUCAAGAUCCCUGAGGAAGGACAGUCCAGAUUAAAGGCAAAAAGAUAUCCUUUAAAUCUAUGACCAAGAAGUGGGUGUCAGUGUGGGGGAUCUGAGACAGCAGGGUGUAUGGGUUGGGAACCAAAGGAUGUAUGGGCCUAAAGGAGGUGUUGAUGAGUCGUAGGUCCUGAACUAAGUGAUAGGACCUGUUGGGCUUUUCUACCGCUAGUUUGGGAGUAUUCUAAGGGGAAUCAGCAGGACGGAGGUUACUCCUUGCUAAGAAAGUCCUGAAUAAUGGGUUGUAGGCCCAGAAGAGCUUUUGUGGACAGGGGGUAUUGAGCCUGAUUAGGGAAGGUGUUAGGAUCUUUAAGAUGAAUGUUAACUGCUAGGCAGGAAAUGGUGGAGGGGGUGUGGGUAUCCCAUACAAUCACCAGGUUAGUAUGGUAUUUCAUGUCAGCCUCACAAGUGGAGCAGAAUGGCCAGUCUUCUUCCAAAAGGGGGCCUGACUGAUGCCAGGAGCCCGGAUAUUGAUUGUUGUAUUGAAUUUAGAGAGAAUAUCUCGGCUGAGCAAAGGAACUGGACAUAACUAGGAACAUCUGAGAGAAUGGGAAGUUGUCUAUGGAACAGAGUAAUAGGGGAGUCUUUCUUGGAUAGAUGGUCUUUCCUACUACCCGACAAUAGGAGAGGUGGACGUUUGCCCCAGAAUUCUGUCAGGACUGAGAAGUUAGCCUGGUGUCAAGGAGAAAGUCAACCUUGCAUCCAUCCACCUGAAUCCGCACCCUGGGUUCCUGUCUAUUGAUCAGGGACAAGGACCCAAGGCUCCGUCAAUUGAUUGCUAUGCCCAGAAGGGCAGAGGGUUCCCCGGCCAUAGGCCUCCUAUGGGGUCUAGGACAGUCAGAGCCCCAAUGACCUUGUUGUUGACAUUUAGGGCAUGGAGUAUGUGGAGUGCAUGGUGCGGGGCAUGCCCUGGCCCAAUGUCCCUCCUUGCCACACUUGAAGCAGGUGCCCAGGGGGUGUUUUCCGUGGUGGGCGGCGACCCAAGGAAGCACCUUGCUGGUCCUGAGCCAGCAGGGCUAGUCUGAUUGGUGGGUAAGGAUCAGGUGAGCCAGCAGGGCUAGUCUGAUUGGUGGGUAAGGAUCAGGUGAGCCAGCAGGGUUAGUCUGAUUGGUGGGUAAGGAUCAUGUGAGGCAGCAGGGCUCACCAUUGGAUGGCAGGAUUAUGUGAGCAAGCAGGGCUUACCAUUGGACAGCAGGGUCAUGUGAGCCAGCAGGGCUCACCAUUGGAUGGCUCUUCUUGGGGUAUGGAGAAGUUAGUCUUUGGAGCCAGGGCAACUCCCAACAGCACUAUUCUAGCAAUGCUACAUGUUUAAUUUUGAAAGAAAAAUAUAUUUUUGAAAAUUUCAUAGAAAAUUUUUUAAAAGAUCUUAACUAGAAUUGGAUACCUUAAUAAUGCCAACUUCAGAAUGUUGUCCAUUUCAGUAGUAGUUUGCUGCCCUGUGUUUCUUGUUUUUCCAUUAAUAGGUUCUGACAUGUUUUGGUGUGGCGUGGGAAGUAAUGUUAGCACGAAUUCUUGGGAGGCCCGAACAAAUAGCUUACGUAUGGAUUGUCGAAAGAAACA
Molecule: non-coding RNA, 7641 nt
Organism: Ictidomys tridecemlineatus (thirteen-lined ground squirrel)
Lineage: Eukaryota; Metazoa; Chordata; Mammalia; Rodentia; Sciuridae
Source: RefSeq, a predicted model, not a curated record